UGAGGCCUAUGAUGUUUUAAAGAUUUGCCUACAUUGUCCGACUUUAAUAUUUUUAUUGCUCAUGAUGGAGAAAAGUCAGACUCUGAGGCCACA
Molecule: small nucleolar RNA, 93 nt
Organism: Diospyros lotus (date-plum)
Lineage: Eukaryota; Viridiplantae; Streptophyta; Magnoliopsida; Ericales; Ebenaceae
Product: small nucleolar RNA SNORD34
Exons: 1
Source: RefSeq, a predicted model, not a curated record